Gallus gallus (chicken) is the source of this 1825-nucleotide long non-coding RNA. The record is from Ensembl. Lineage: Eukaryota; Metazoa; Chordata; Aves; Galliformes; Phasianidae.
CUAGACUUCUGAAAGGGAAACCAGUGCACCAGGGUUUCCAGUGCUGUGAUAUGUGACUUAGGAGGAGCAGUUUGCUAAGGUAAAUUAUCCCAAAUGGACUGCUUUAGGAUGUCAGACACUAGCAUUUGUGCUGGCUGUCUAGAUGGGGUGUUAAGAUACCCCUCAAGUCUUCUUCCACCCCCUGCAUGGAGCACAAGCCCUUUCAAGAUUCAGGGCUGAAGACUCAGACUGAACUGUCUAUAAGGCUUUCUACAAGCACGUGAUAUUGCCCAGAAUGCCUUUUGCAUAUCCAGCCCAUCUGCAGUGCAGUUUGCUGCUGAGAGAGGGACAGAACAUAUGGCACUGACCUCAGAUGUGGGCUCCAAUACAGUAAGGAAGCCAUCUACUCUGAACAUUAAUAACGAAUUUCAGUGACUGGCCUGGCUGGGAACCAGUGCACACCCAACCUCUGCAUGCACGGAGCUCUUGGCACACAGUGAGACAGAAGAAAGAUGGGAGAUAACAUAAGGAUCAGGGUCUCUAAACCAAGUAUGUAUCAGAUGCCAGGAGUUCAUUAGAUGUUGCAGCAUCACAUAGGUCAUUACCUGCCAGAAUGCACUGCCUGGACAGUGCUGCUGUGAUCAGAAAACAGCUCAGAAAAAAACUAAGUCUGUUAAGAGUGGGAGUAAGCAGAGAAGACAACAAAUUCUCAUUUUAAAUACGGGUGAGGCAUCCAGCUCUGGUGUUGCUCAAACACACGCGUCUACCUAGACUGAGAAUAAAAGGGUCAGAUCACAUAACUUCAGCUGUCCACGUACCCAGGACAAACAUCAAAUGUAAAAUGAGUAAUAAUAAUAAACAGUUUUCAAAGCUAAGUUCAGGCUGAUUUUGAAGCAUUAAAAAUGAGCACCCUAUAAGAUGUUAUGGCCUCAUUUAAGACCAAGUCGGGGAUAUUUUAUAGCAUCACUAAACAGCUACAUCUCCAUUUGAAGGAGCGAGAGGUGCUCACCCAGCUGGUACAACACUUCAGCUGCUGAGCCGCUCUUCUGCCUUCUUUCAGCUUUCAAUACAAGGUCCAACAGCCCUACUCACUGUGUCAGGAUGACUUCAUACACAGAUUCCCUUGGAAACACCAGCUCCAAAGUCCCUCUCGCUCGCACUCCAGCCAGCAACCAGUGAGGACCCCAUGCUGCCCCACUGGGUCUUGCUCAGGCUGGAACUGGGCACUCUGCACGGGAUCAAAGUCCCUCUGUGUACCUGCCCCAGCCUGAUGAAUGCCACUGCUCCUCAUUUCCAUACGAUCAGUAUCUUGCUCUAUAAACGACUUCAACACAGGAAAAAUAGCUUCUCCCGACAGCGUGCAGCGCUGCAGAUAACCAACGUGAAAAAUGUCAAGCAAUGCAGGCACUGAAUAACAAAAUAAUCAGUUUUUCCACUCAGAUGCUUUCUAAUAUUGCUUACACUUUUUUUUUUCUUUUUUUUUUUUUGAGAUGUGGUGUUCAUGAUAAAUAAUUUAAAGACUUAAUGUUCACUGGGUCCUUUGUUACUGGCAGCUCUCGAAUUGCCAAAUGAAAAUAUUUGGGGUUUUGGUGCUCUGUAUAAAGACUGUAUAUUUGUCAACAGUUUUAUGGCUCAGAGAGGUGCUCCAUGAAUAUCGUCAGCAUUGGUUGCUCUCUCAAAGGCCUACUAUAUAAAAAUAAAGUGAAAUAAAAUAAAAAAGCAAGCCUGAUGAUUCCCCUUUUCUCUUUAUUACAGCUGCACUACUCAUGCCGCUGCCAUUAAGGGCCUGUCAGCAUUUUUAUUAGAAACCGCUACUCCAGGGGUUUAUAACUCAGCAGUAAAAAUU